Parasteatoda tepidariorum (common house spider) is the source of this 348-nucleotide non-coding RNA. NCBI's taxonomy places the organism in Eukaryota, Metazoa, Arthropoda, Arachnida, Araneae, Theridiidae. The record is from RefSeq and is a predicted model, not a curated record.
AUUAAAUAAUUUUAACAUGAUCUAAAAUUGUGUUGUCAUAUAUUUUAGAUUCAGUCAACAUUGUUAACUUCACAAAAGUUGGUCCUGUGUUCUUGUUAGCUGUUUAGACAAUACUUUGCGACUUACAGAUAAAGACGGGGGUGAAGUGCGUUCUGAGCACACAGGCCAAAAAUGAGAGGUAAAAGAUAGGAAGUUUCCUCAAUGACAAAGAUUCUGUCGCAGUCUCUGGAUCUGAAGAUGGUUGUGUUUACAUGUGGAACCUAAUUGAAGAGACUCAAACAGGGAUGUUAUAGUCAUUGAAUGAUAAAUAUCUGCAUUUUUAGGUAUUAUAUUUUAUUUGUAGGCAUU